AGCAGCCGCGGUAAUUCCAGCUCCAAUAGCGUAUAUUAAAGUUGUUGCAGUUAAAAAGCUCGUAGUUGAACUUCGGGCCUGUCCAGAUGGUCCGCCUUAAUUGGUGUGUACUGUCCUUGGGUGGGUCCUACCUUCUGGCGAAGCGGCAUGGCCUUAAUUGGUUGUGUUGGGGAACCAGGACUUUUACUGUGAAAAAAAUUAGAGUGUUCAAAGCAGGCAAAUAUGCUCGAAUACAUUAGCAUGGAAUAAUGGAAUAGGACGAUGGUUCUAUUUUGUUGGUUCUAGGACCGUUGUAAUGAUUAAUAGGGAUAGUUGGGGGCAUUAGUAUUCAAUUGUCAGAGGUGAAAUUCUUGGAUUUAUUGAAGACUAACUACUGCGAAAGCAUUUGCCAAGGAUGUUUUCAUUAAUCAAGAACGAAAGUUAGGGGAUCGAAGACGAUCAGAUACCGUCGUAGUCUUAACCAUAAACUAUGCCGACUAGGAAUCGGGCGAUGUUGACAAAAUGACUCGCUACGGCACC
This 519-nucleotide ribosomal RNA is filed under the name uncultured Paraglomus. RNAcentral describes it as "bacterial SSU rRNA". It matches the Rfam family "Eukaryotic small subunit ribosomal RNA", at positions 569 to 1087 of the family's 1831-position model. The record is from RNAcentral. Lineage: Eukaryota; Fungi; Glomeromycota; Glomeromycetes; Paraglomerales; Paraglomeraceae.